RNAcentral lists this ribosomal RNA (352 nucleotides) under uncultured bacterium. Its description in RNAcentral is "bacterial SSU rRNA". It matches the Rfam family "Bacterial small subunit ribosomal RNA", at positions 29 to 406 of the family's 1533-position model. The record is from RNAcentral.
AACGAACGCUGGCGGCAUGCCUAACACAUGCAAGUCGAACGCGUGUAGCAAUACACGAGUGGCGGACGGGUGAGUAACGCGUGGGAACCUGCCCAAUGGUAGGGAAUAACUGCGGGAAACUGCAGCUAAUACCCUAUGCUCCCUACGGGGGAAAGAUUUAUCGCCAUUGGAGGGGCCCGCGUCGGAUUAGCUAGUUGGCGGGGUAACGGCCCACCAAGGCUACGAUCCGUAGCUGGUCUGAGAGGAUGAUCAGCCACACUGGGACUGAGAUACGGCCCAGACUCCUACGGGAGGCAGCAGUGGGGAAUAUUGGACAAUGGGGGAAACCCUGAUCCAGCAAUGCCGCGUGAGU